This is a non-coding RNA of Schistosoma haematobium, 45 nucleotides long. Lineage: Eukaryota; Metazoa; Platyhelminthes; Trematoda; Strigeidida; Schistosomatidae. The record is from Rfam.
AUCCAACUGACGAGUCCCAAAUAGAACGAAAUGAGAAUCUUAGGU